This is a small nucleolar RNA of Ornithorhynchus anatinus (platypus), 138 nucleotides long. NCBI's taxonomy places the organism in Eukaryota, Metazoa, Chordata, Mammalia, Monotremata, Ornithorhynchidae. The record is from RefSeq and is a predicted model, not a curated record.
CCCCUCUCAGGGUCGCACCUGGGGAGUUUCCAGUACUCCACCAACCUCGACUAUGGGAGGGAGAGUCAAGCAGAGGCAUAUCCAUUCCACUCCUACCUUGGGCAAUGGCUAGCGAGUGGAAGGCAAUCUGCUACAAAC